RNAcentral lists this ribosomal RNA (301 nucleotides) under uncultured bacterium. RNAcentral's name for it is "partial 16S ribosomal RNA". It matches the Rfam family "Bacterial small subunit ribosomal RNA", at positions 509 to 807 of the family's 1533-position model. The record is from RNAcentral.
CAGCAGCCGCGGUAAUACGAAGGGUGCAAGCGUUAAUCGGAAUUACUGGGCGUAAAGGGUGCGUAGGCGGUGAGUUAAGUCUGUUGUGAAAUCCCCGGGCUCAACCUGGGAAUGGCAAUGGAUACUGGCUCGCUAGAGUGUGAUAGAGGAUGGUGGAAUUCCCGGUGUAGCGGUGAAAUGCGUAGAGAUCGGGAGGAACAUCAGUGGCGAAGGCGGCCAUCUGGAUCAACACUGACGCUGAAGCACGAAAGCGUGGGGAGCAAACAGGAUUAGAUACCCGAGUAGUCCCUGUCUCUUAUAC